Molecule: ribosomal RNA, 498 nt
Filed under: uncultured bacterium
Lineage: Bacteria
Description: partial 16S ribosomal RNA
Rfam family: Bacterial small subunit ribosomal RNA
Source: RNAcentral
AUUGAACGCUGGCGGCAUGCCUUACACAUGCAAGUCGAACGGUAACAGGUCUUCGGAUGCUGACGAGUGGUGAACGGGUGAGUAAUACAUCGGAACGUGCCUAGUAGUGGGGGAUAACUACUCGAAAGAGUGGCUAAUACCGCAUGAGAUCUACGGAUGAAAGCAGGGGAUCGCAAGACCUUGUGCUACUAGAGCGGCCGAUGGCAGAUUAGGUAGUUGGUGGGAUAAAAGCUUACCAAGCCGACGAUCUGUAGCUGGUCUGAGAGGACGAUCAGCCACACUGGGACUGAGAAACGGCCCAGACUCCUACGGGAGGCAGCAGUGGGGAAUUUUGGGCAAUGGGCGCAAGCCUGAUCCAGCAAUGCCGCGUGCAGGAUGAAGGCCUUCGGGUUGUAAACUGCUUUUGUACGGAACGAAAAGCCCCGGGUUAAUACCCUGGGGUCAUGACGGUACCGUAAGAAUAAGCACCGGCUAACUACGUGCCAGCCGCCGCCGUAA